AGACUGUAACGUAGGCAACAACAGAACACAGGAGCAAGACAAGAGUUAGGCAGAAUCACUUACAGAGUAUCAAGGCAGUGACAUUUCAGGGACAGGAGAGGAGAGCAGCAAUGACUUCUGACACAUGUUGAAAGCAAGAAGCAAGACUGACUGAGAAAUGAGAGGAAAAGGAGAGAAGAUGAUAUUGGGCCCUUUCAGAUCUCUUCCAGAACCACAAAUAGAUCUCCUGGACCUGUGCAGAGAACAGAACCAGCUGUCUCUUCAACAGCAUCCCCAGCAACCCACAGCCUUGAUGGAUGGCUCUCUUCAGACACAGCAAGAGCACAAUAUUCCACAACUGUCCUGCCAAAGUGUCUCAACUGUGUGCUUCAUUCACUCUCCAUGAUUAUCAAAUCCUUGAAGACUGCCAACAAAGAGGGGAGGGGAUAAAAUGGGGCUCAACUAGGACCACACAUCCCCCACCACCACCCAAACCUGUGCUGCGAGAUCGUCCCCACACAUUCCAGGUGGUGCCUCCUGUCCCUGCGACGUGGUGGUGGAGGAAAACUGCAGGGAAGAACCAGCCAGAGACUCCAGCCAAAGGAACAGCUGAAGAUGCAGGCAAAGCUAGGAUCUCCAGACAUUCAGGGAAUGUUCUACAAUUUUUCCUGCACUGUGUCUGCCCUUAGCUGAUUGACUGUUUCCUCCAGUUCUGCCCCUCCCACACAAUCUCUUCAUCUCAGUUUUACUCCACACCUGACCCUCUUACCCACUUCUCCUAUGCCCUGUUGUCCUCCUCCCACUCCCCCUUGCACUCCACAUUCCCUCUCCAUUCAGUUUUCUUUCCGUUUAGCUUAUCCCCUCCUAACUAAACCCCACCCACCCCUCAAAAAAUCAUGGAACUAACGAUGUUUUCUGCCAUCACAUUGUUCACUCUGAUUGUGUGUUCUAUCACUUCUCCUACUCUGUGUCUGUCUUCUCUAUUAAAUUUAGAUUUUAGAUUGUAAGCUCUCUGGUGUGGGGACCGUCUAUUCUGUGUGCUUAGUACAAUGAAGCACCAUUCUUGGCUGGUUCUUAGGAACUGCUGUAAUGAACAUGAUUAACCAUACAACAUGCUUUUACCUGAUCACUGUGCGCUGUCUCCAUUCUCCAGUGGGGGCAAAUGGGCAUGAGGUGUUAAACUGAAGCAUGAACCUACAGGUACUAGUACAGAUGGAUACAAACCUGAAGGAAAGAAAAAAACAAGUACAUUUUUAUAUGAAACUGUGUUGGAUACCACUCUCAGCCCGCUUACUGGGGAUAUUUACAAAUUAGGAGAGUUCGUGGAAUUUGCUCACUUUUUUCAGGUAAUUUUAAUAUGUGUUGCAUAGGUGACUCAAAGAAACUGAAAUUCUGCCACAUCUGCUUAGAUUCACUCCUACAGAGGAGAAUUUGCCUGUGGCUGCUUGAUAAACAUUUAAAUCGGUGUUUUCUGACUUAAAAAAAACUAUUUGAACACUACCAAUGGCAAGCACUGAUUAGAUUCAAAAUAGGGGGUUUAAAAACCAAGCAAACAGAAAAUGAAGUUUUAAAGGGGACUUUACUGAGCAAGGCUACAAUUAAACUGUUCUGUAAACUAGCAAGAUAAAUAGCAUUAAAGAGCUUUGGGCUGAGGAUCUAGAUAAUCAAAUAACCAACAUAUUAUCAAAGGAAACGUGCUCCCUUUUCGGUUUUGGGUCCAGUUCAUUCCACUGCAGAAUACAAGCUGUGGCUGCAAGCAAUGGAAAGUGCAUUGGAAACAAAGGAACAAUUCUGUUGGGGGUCCAGUUCAGCCCACAAAAUGAAAGGGCUGGAAUUUGAGGAGCAAAGCUAAAGCAUCUGGGACAUAUGCUGUUUCAGUACAUCUCCUGUAGAGCAUCCACCAGCAGAGCUCCUAGAGGCCUACAUCAGGAGUUGAA
Molecule: long non-coding RNA, 1916 nt
Organism: Mauremys reevesii (Reeves's turtle)
Lineage: Eukaryota; Metazoa; Chordata; Testudines; Geoemydidae
Exons: 3
Source: RefSeq, a predicted model, not a curated record